RNAcentral lists this ribosomal RNA (3210 nucleotides) under Durio zibethinus. RNAcentral describes it as "eukaryotic LSU rRNA". It matches the Rfam family "Eukaryotic large subunit ribosomal RNA". Lineage: Eukaryota; Viridiplantae; Streptophyta; Magnoliopsida; Malvales; Malvaceae. The record is from RNAcentral.
AUGACCCCAGGUCAGGCGAGAUCACCCGCUGAGUUUAAGCAUAUCAAUAAGCGGAGGAAAAGAAACUUACCAAGAUUACCCUAGUAACGGUGAGCGAAUCGGGAAAAGCCUAGCUUGAGAAUCGGGCACCCCCGACAUUCAAAUUGUAGUCUGGAGAAGCGUCCUCAGUGGCAGACCGGGCCCAAGUCCCCUGAAAAGGUACAUCGAAGAGGGUGAGAGCCCUGUUGUGCCCGAACCCUGCCACACCACGAGGCACUGUCCGCGAGUCACGUUGUUUAGGAAUGCAGCCCCAUCAGGCAGUAAAUUCUAUCCAAGGUUGAAUACGGGUGAGAGACCGAUAGCGAACAAGUACCAUGAGGGAAAGAUGAAAAGGAUUUUGAAAAAAGAGUCAAAGAGUGCUUGAAAUUAUCAGGAGGGAAGCGGAUGGGGGCCGGUCUACCGAUCGGCUCGGGGCAUGGACCGACGCGGGUCACGAUGGUAGCCUAAGCCUGGGCUUUUGAUGUGCCCAUAGAGACGUCGCCACUAUGAUCGUGGAACGCAGCACACGUCGUCUCGGCGUGCCCCGGCACAAGCGUGCUAUAGGCAUUGGCCUGCAGGCUCCCUAUCCGACCCGUCUUGAAUCACAGACCAAAAAGUCUUACAUGCAUGCGAGUCAAUGGGCCAAAAAACCCGUAAGGCGCAAGGAAGCUGAUUGGCGGGAUCCCUCACGGGUGCACCGUCGAUCGACCUUGAUCAUCUGAGAAGGGUUCGAGUGCGAGCAUGCCCGUCGAGACCUAAAAGAUGGUGAACUAUGCCUGAGCGGGAUGAAGCCAGAGGAAACUCUGAUGGAGGCUCGUAGCAAUACUGACGUGCAAAUCAUUCGUCUGACUUGGGUAUAAGGGCGAAAGACUAAUCAAACUGUCUAGUAGCUAGUUCCCUUCGAAGUUUCCCUCAGGAUAGUUGGAGCCCCCGUCGAGUUCUAUCGGGUAAAACCAAUGAUUAGAGGCAUCAGGGGUGCAAUGCCCUCGACCUAUUCUCAAACUUUAAAUAGGUAAGACGGCGCGGCUGCUUCAUUGAGCCAGGCCACGGAAUCGAGAACUCCAAGUGGGCCAUUUUUGGUAAGUAGAACUGGUGAUGCAGGAUGAACUGGAAGCCAGGUUACGGCACCUAACUGCGCGCUAACCCAGAACCCACAAAGGGUGUUGGUCGAUUAAGACAGUAGGACGAUGGUCAUGGAAGUCAAAAUCCGCUAAGGAGUGUGUAACAACUCACCUGCCGAAUCAACUAGCCCCGAAAAUGGAUGGCACUUAAGAGCACGACCUAUACCCGACCAUCAGGGCAAGGGCCUGGCCCUAAUGAGUAGGAGGGCACAACGGUCACCGUAAAACCCAGGGCACAAGCCCGGGCAGAGCGGUCAUCGGUGCAAAUCUUGGUGGUAGUAGCAAAUAUUCAAAUGACAACUUUGAAGGCCGAAGAGGGGAAAGGUUCCAUGUGAACGGCACUUGCACAUGGGUUAGUCGAUCCUAAGAGAUGGGGGAAGCCUAUCCGAUAGUGCAUCCUAUGCGAGCUUCGAAAGGGAAUCGGGUUAAAAUUCCUGAACCUGGACGCGACAGCUGACGGUAACGUUAGGGAGUCUGGAGACAUCGACGGAUGCCUCGAAAAGAGUUAUCUUUUCUGUUUAACGACCCGUCCACCUUGGAAACGGCUCAACCGGAGGUAUGGUCCAGCGGUCGAAAAAGUACCGCACGUUGUGUGGUGUCCGGUGCAUCCCCGACCCCUUGAAAAUCUGGAAGCCCUAGUGUCGUCCGUGCCCGGUCUUAGUCAUAACCGCAUCAGGUCUCUAAUUGUGAACAACCUCUGGUCGAUGGAACAAUGUAGGCAAGAAAAGUCGACAAAAUGGAUCCGUAACCUUAGGAAAAGGAUUGGCUGUGAGGGUUGGGCACGGGGGUCCCAGUCUCGAACCCGUCGGCUGCCAGUGUAUUGAUCGAGCUGCUCCCACAGUGAGAGUGGGUCACUGCGUGCCUGCCAGGGGACAGACUGGGAACGGCUCCCUCGGGGGCCUUCCUCGGGGGACGAACAAUCGACUUAGAACUGCUACGAACAAGGGGAAUUCGACUGUUUAAUUAAAACAAAGCAUUGCGAUGGUCCCUACGGAUGCUCACGUAAUGUGAUUUCUGCCCAAUGCUCUGAAUGUCAAAGCGAAGAAAUUCAACCAAGCGCGGGUAAACGACGAGAGUAACUAUGACUCUCUUAAGGUAGCCAAAUGCCUCGUCAUCUAAUUAGCGAUGCGCAUGAAUGGAUUAACGAGAUUCCCACUGUCCCUGUCUACUAUCCAGUGAACCACAGCCAAGGGAAUGGGCUUGGCAGAAUCAACGGGGAAAGAAGACCCUGUUGAGCUUUACUCUAGUCCGACUUUGUGAAAUAACUUGAGAGGUGUAGGAUAAGUGGGAGCCCUCGGGUGAAAUUGAAAUACCACUACUUUUAACAUUAUUUUACUUAUUUUAUGAAUUGGAGGUGGGGCACGACCCUUUCUUUUGGACCGAAGGCCAGCCUCGAUCGGUCGAUCUAGGCGGAAGACAUUGUUAGGUGGAGAGUUUGGCUGGGGCAGGACAUCUAUUAAAAGAUAACAUAGGUGUCCUAAGAUGAGGUCAAUGAGAACAGAAAUCUUAUGUGGAAAAAAAGGGUAAAAGCUCGUUUGAUUCUGAUUUCCAAUACGAAUAUGAACCGUGAAAGCGUGGCCUAUUGAUCUAUUAGACCUUCGAGAUUUGAAGCUAGAGGUGUCAGAAAAGUUACCACAGGGAUAACUGGCUUAUGGCAGCCAAGCGUUCAUAGCGACGUUGGUUUUUAAUCCUUCGAUGUCGGCUCUUCCUAUCAUUAUGAAGCAGAAUUCACCAAGUGUUGGAUUGUUCACCCACCAAUAGGGAACGUGAGCUGGGUUUAGACCGUCGUGAGAUAGGUUAGUUUUACCCUACUGAUGGCGGCAUCGCGAUAGUAAUUCAACCUAGUAUGAGAGGAACCAUUGAUUCGCACAAUUGGUCAUCACGCUUGGUUGAAAAACCAGUGGCAUGAAGCUACCAUGCGCUGGACUAUGACUGAACGCCUCUAAGUCAAAAUUCGAGACAGAAGUGACGUGCGCGCCUACCACCUAAUUGUCGACCCACAGUAGGGGCCCAUGGUCCCCAAGGUCACGUGCCGUAGGUGCAGCCCCCACAGCGGACAAGCCGCACGGGC